UACGAAGGGGGCUAGCGUUGCUCGGAAUCACUGGGCGUAAAGCGCACGUAGGCGGCCUCUUAAGUCAGGGGUGAAAUCCUGGAGCUCAACUCCAGAACUGCCUUUGAUACUGAGAGCCUUGAGUCCGGAAGAGGUAAGUGGAACUGCGAGUGUAGAGGUGAAAUUCGUAGAUAUUCGCAAGAACACCAGUGGCGAAGGCGGCUUACUGGUCCGGUACUGACGCUGAGGUGCGAAAGCGUGGGGAGCAAACAGG
This 253-nucleotide ribosomal RNA is filed under the name uncultured bacterium. Its description in RNAcentral is "partial 16S ribosomal RNA". It matches the Rfam family "Bacterial small subunit ribosomal RNA", at positions 524 to 776 of the family's 1533-position model. The record is from RNAcentral.